AACGAACGCUGGCGGCAUGCCUAACACAUGCAAGUCGAACGAGACCUUCGGGUCUAGUGGCGCACGGGUGCGUAACGCGUGGGAACCUGCCCUUAGGUUCGGAAUAACUCCCCGAGAGGGGUGCUAAUACCGGAUAAUGUCUUCGGACCAAAGAUUUAUCGCCUUUGGAUGGGCCCGCGUUGGAUUAGCUAGUUGGUAGGGUAAAAGCCUACCAAGGCGACGAUCCAUAGCUGGUCUGAGAGGAUGAUCAGCCACACUGGGACUGAGACACGGCCCAGACUCCGACGGGAGGCAGCAGUGGGGAAUAUUGGACAAUGGGCGAAAGCCUGAUCCAGCAAUGCCGCGUGAGUGAUGAAGGCCUUAGGGUUGUAAAGCUCUUUUACCCGGGAUGAUAAUGACAGUACCGGGAGAAUAAGCUCCGGCUAACUCCGUG
This 433-nucleotide ribosomal RNA is filed under the name uncultured bacterium. Its description in RNAcentral is "partial 16S ribosomal RNA". It matches the Rfam family "Bacterial small subunit ribosomal RNA", at positions 29 to 507 of the family's 1533-position model. The record is from RNAcentral.